This 431-nucleotide ribosomal RNA is filed under the name uncultured bacterium. RNAcentral describes it as "bacterial SSU rRNA". It matches the Rfam family "Bacterial small subunit ribosomal RNA", at positions 29 to 507 of the family's 1533-position model. The record is from RNAcentral.
AACGAACGCUGGCGGCAGGCUUAACACAUGCAAGUCGAGCGCACCUUCGGGUGAGCGGCGGACGGGUUAGUAACGCGUGGGAACGUGCCCUUCUCUACGGAAUAGCCUCUGGAAACGAAGAGUAAUACCUUAUACGCCCUUCGGGGGAAAGAUUUAUCGGUAUCGGAUUAGCCCGCGUAAGAUUAGAUAGUUGGUGGGGUAAUGGCCUACCAAGUCUACGAUCUUUAGCUGGUUUUAGAGGAUGAUCAGCAACACUGGGACUGAGACACGGCCCAGACUCCUACGGGAGGCAGCAGUGGGGAAUCUUAGACAAUGGGCGCAAGCCUGAUCUAGCCAUGCCGCGUGAGUGAAGAAGGCCUUAGGGUCGUAAAACUCUUUCGCCAGAGAUGAUAAUGACAGUAUCUGGUAAAGAAACCCCGGCUAACUCCGUG